RNAcentral lists this unclassified non-coding RNA (383 nucleotides) under uncultured bacterium. RNAcentral describes it as "contains 16S-23S intergenic spacer region". The record is from RNAcentral.
UCCCCGUUAACCGGGGCAGUCCCCCUAGAGUUCCCGGCAUGACCCGUUGGCAACUAGGGGCGAGGGUUGCGCUCGUUGCGGGACUUAACCCAACAUCUCACGACACGAGCUGACGACAGCCAUGCAGCACCUGUGUCAGCUCCCCUUUCGGGGUCGGUCCCCUUUCGGUUUCCUACCACUGACAUGUCAAACCCAGGUAAGGUUUUUCGCGUUGCGUCGAAUUGAACCACAUGCUCCACCGCUUGUGCGGGUCCCCGUCAAUUCCUUUGAGUUUUAGCCUUGCGGCCGUAGUCCCCAGGCGGGGUGCUUAACGCGUUAGCUGCGGCACAGAGACCGUGGACUGGUCCCCACACCUAGCACCCAUCGUUUACAGCGUGGACUAC